GAUGAACGCUGGCGGCGUGCCUAACACAUGCAAGUCGAGCGAUUCUCUUCGGAGAAGAGCGGCGGACGGGUGAGUAACGCGUGGGUAACCUGCCCUGUACACACGGAUAACAUACCGAAAGGUAUGCUAAUACGAGAUAAUAUGCUUUUAUCGCAUGAUAGAAGUAUCAAAGCUCCGGCGGUACAGGAUGGACCCGCGUCUGAUUAGCUAGUCGGUAAGGUAAUGGCUUACCAAGGCGACGAUCAGUAGCCGACCGGAGAGGGUGAGCGGCCACAUUGGAACUGAGACACGGUCCAAACUCCUACGGGAGGCAGCAGUGGGGAAUAUUGCACAAUGGGCGAAAGCUUGAUGCAGCAACGCCGCGUGAGCGAUGAAGGCCUUCGGGUCGUAAAGCUCUGUCCUCAAGGAAGAUAAUGACGGUACUUGAGGAGGAAGCCCCGGCUAACUACGUGCCAGCCGCCGCCGUAA
This 468-nucleotide ribosomal RNA is filed under the name uncultured bacterium. Its description in RNAcentral is "partial 16S ribosomal RNA". It matches the Rfam family "Bacterial small subunit ribosomal RNA", at positions 28 to 523 of the family's 1533-position model. The record is from RNAcentral.